RNAcentral lists this ribosomal RNA (490 nucleotides) under uncultured bacterium. RNAcentral describes it as "bacterial SSU rRNA". It matches the Rfam family "Bacterial small subunit ribosomal RNA", at positions 30 to 517 of the family's 1533-position model. The record is from RNAcentral.
AUUGAACGCUGGCGGAAUGCUUUACACAUGCAAGUCGAACGGUAGAGGGGGCAACCCCUUGAGAGUGGCGAACGGGUGAGUAAUAUAUCGGAACGUGCCCAGUCGUGGGGAUAACGUAGCGAAAGCUACGCUAAUACCGCAUACGAUCUAUGGAUGAAAGCGGGGGAUCGCAAGACCUCGCGCGAUUGGAGCGGCCGAUAUCAGAUUAGGUAGUUGGUGAGGUAAUGGCUCACCAAGGCGACGAUCCGUAGCUGGUCUGAGAGGAUGAUCAGCCACACUGGGACUGAGACACGGCCCUGACUCCUACGGGAGGCAGCAGUGGGGGAAUAUUGGACAAUGGGCGAAAGCCUGAUCCAGCAAUGCCGCGUGAGUGAUGAAGGCCUUAGGGUUGUAAACUGCUUUUGUACGGAACGAAAAGGUUUCUAUUAAUACUAGGAGCUCAUGACGGUACCGUAAGAAUAAGCACCGGCUAACUACGUGCCAGCAGCCG